AGAGUUUGAUCCUGGCUCAGGACGAACGCUGGCGGCGUGCUUAACACAUGCAAGUCGAGCGGAAAGGCCCUUCGGGGUACUCGAGCGGCGAACGGGUGAGUAACACGUGAGGAACCUGCCCCUAGCUCUGGGAUAGCUUCGGGAAACCGGAAUUAAUACCAGAUAUGACCACUGUUGGCAUCGACAGUGGUGGAAAGAUU
RNAcentral lists this ribosomal RNA (200 nucleotides) under uncultured bacterium. Its description in RNAcentral is "partial 16S ribosomal RNA". It matches the Rfam family "Bacterial small subunit ribosomal RNA", at positions 8 to 210 of the family's 1533-position model. The record is from RNAcentral.